Molecule: long non-coding RNA, 2859 nt
Organism: Paramacrobiotus metropolitanus
Lineage: Eukaryota; Metazoa; Tardigrada; Eutardigrada; Parachela; Macrobiotidae
Exons: 5
Source: RefSeq, a predicted model, not a curated record
UUUGGAUUGACUGUUGCAUACAAUAACUAACAAAUUCACUUCCAAAAUUUAUCUUUAAACUGCUGUUAUUGACUUAAAAGCGGUGCAAGCAAAGUUGCCUUUCCAUUCGCAAUCGGGUCAACAAUUGCAACCUAUCCAGUACGAGAAGGUUUGGAAAAUGUCUGAAGCCAUACAUCUCGAUGCGAGAAUUAAAUCUAAUUGGUGAAUUCCCGCAAUAUCCACCCAAGAUGCUGAUCUACUCGAGAAUACAAAGCAUACAUCCUGACGAAAUUGCCAGUUACUCGCGUUUUAUAGCCAGCUAGAACGCCUUUAAGAUCCCAUUUGGAGCCGUCGGGUGAAGCACACACCAGUACGCCUCCAGGAUCCGACAACAUAUUGGAGCUUUCACGGUUGGACACCCGCACACAAAUUAACGAGUCCAACGGCUCCUGAAUCCGUGUCCACAAAGUGCGGCUGCAAUCUUCCGGUGAUACGAUUUGCAUUUCCCGUCCAACGUGCAACUCGGAGGGCCGAGAUGGGAGCAACAAACCUCUGUUGGAGGUAACGUUCCACCCCAGUGUCACACAAUGCGCCAAGUCGACUGUGCUCCCACUAACGUUGACCCCGGCAGCGGUUGGCAGUGUUGGCUGCAGUCGUGCAUGGACAGCUGGCUGCACAUUCGGAUCCGGAAGACACAGAGGCCGCAGGUAAUCAUGACACUCUAGCCGACGAUCCAAGCGGGCCAACAGUAUUUCGUUGCGACCGCUUGAUGUUGACGUUUCCGGUGGCAUGGCGAUCAUUGUGAUGUCACGGCUCUGCAUCAACUUUGGAUUGGUCCCUUGCCAAUAAGGUCCGGCCAACACUUUGAAAUAACCGUUCCUGUACAGCAUCAUAUCGAGUCAGUAUGUAUCGGCAAAACUAUUACGCAAUACGUCAAUAUAAAAAAGAAAUUUUAUGGAAAAUUAACGACGCUGUUAGUGAGCAGCAUAUGGAAAUUAAAACUCCCUGGACGAGGUAUUUGCCCAAAACGUUUACGUAAUGAAAUACUGAAAUACUGAAGAGUUUUCCCUUGCACGCACAUAUAAAUAUUUAAAAAGGAAGUACAGUAACAUAAUUUAUGUAUUCAUUACUUAGAGUUAUUAAUGCUAACAAAUUUUGAUGUUACAAUAAUUAAGGUCAACAUUGCGUUAGUGGUACGUACUUGUCUAUGCAGCCGGAAGAAGUGAUCAGCCACAAAGGAUGCACAAUCACUGCACCACAUCGUAACACCCAACUGCUCCAUACACGCUUGUAAAUCUGGGCCACAAAGGGGAAAAAUUGUUCUUGCCGUUUAAUAAUCAGCUCUCCGUUUUCCGUCACCACCACGCCCUUGUUGCGAUAUAGUCGCGGUUCACACAUCAUCUCCGUGCAGUGCACGCGCAGGACAUUACCGGACUGGCAGUUCUUCACCGGGACAAAGAAACGGGUGGGAUCGCUGCCAACUAAGCGGGACGUCAAAGAAAAGAAUUUGGCCUGUGUAUUUUGCGGUGUCUUGGGUAAAGUCAGCGGCUCGGCAUAUAAUAAUCGGGCAUAUCCCAGAUGGUUACACAGUGUAGUAGGAAUUUCGUAUUCCGUCUGGAAGUCAAACGUGGGUGCCAGGCAUACCGGGUGGAAUUCUGUGCCCCAGCGACGCACCAACACAAUUCCAGCCGGCCGGGUCAAUCCAACGUAGUCCACAGUGUCGGGAAUAGAGUCGCCGUCUCCCAGCAUCCGUAACCAGAUCGCCAACACGCGUACUGGUCAUUGGCAUCGCAGUUAGCCGAGCAUUCAAUUUCAUCGAGAUUGUCGGCGCAAUCUGGGAAUCCGUCGCAGAAUUUGUGCGACACCAGAUCGUCUAAGCAGUUGCAGUGCAGUGGUUCCGACGUGUCGGAUGUGCAGGUAUCCGUCCCGCGACAGAUCUCCGUGCGAUUCUUACAUAUCCCAUCCGUACAGCGAAUUUGUUCGGCAUUACACCGGCAGAAGUACUCAUCCGACAGAUCGUCACAAUCCGGAAUCCCAUUGCAGACCAGUGUUUCCGGUAUACACCAGUCGUGGGUUUUAUCAAAGCGAAUGGAACUGUGGUUUAAACAAGCGAAAAAUCUCGGCGGACAGUUCAUGGCGCAUUCCUCAAGCUCAUCUGCAAAAUGGAAAUUAAAACACACUACAUAUACAAGUGUUACAUAAGUCUGCGACGAUUAAUUUUGGAAAAUAAUUUGAUUAAUAAUUACAGCAAUGCACGACAACAGCAAACUUUUAUAGGUCGUGCAGCGUGUGUCGAGAAAAUAAAAGGAACAAUAACUUAUAAGUUUAUAAUUAAUCCGAACGGUAUUUUAUAAACUUACAACUUUAUUUUAUAAGCAUAAUUAUGUUAUCGUAUGAAACGUUAUCGCUGGCAUUCGCUGCACUGUAAAUUGCUGGUCAAAUUGUUGUAUUUUAUAGCAUUUACCAGACCGGUCAUCGCAGUCCACUUUCCCAUCGCACCACACGGGAAUCGGCAGACACUGAUUAAUACCGCAACGAAAUGUGUACAAUUCAUUACAAUCCACUUCCACCCCAAGAGGUACAUCGAAGCCAGCACUUUUUUGUUUAUUGCCAUCAUACGGAUCGGGCAGUGAUAGCAAAUCGUUUCCAAAUGACGGCGAAUCCGGUGCAAUCCCCACGGUCACAUCUCCUACCCGCACGCCAAUUCGUGGAGCAUGCUGGAUUUCUUGAUUAGCGUUUGCGGGCACAGAAUGUACUGUUGACGCACGAACUAAAAGACAUUAAUAAUCGCAAAGUGUGAUGAAUUAAAGUUUUGCUUGAAAUUCCAGUUCCUGGAUAUUGGGUUUUCUGUAUUACAUACUUUUCCAGUAUGUACACAAU